UACGGAGGGGGCUAGCGUUGUUCGGAAUUACUGGGCGUAAAGCGCACGUAGGCGGCUUUGUAAGUCAGAGGUGAAAGCCCGGAGCUCAACUCCGGAAUUGCCUUUGAGACUGCAUCGCUUGAAUCCAGGAGAGGUGAGUGGAAUUCCGAGUGUAGAGGGUGAAAUUCGUAGAUAUUCGGAAGAAACACCAGUGGCGAAGGCGGCUCACUGGACUGGUAUUGACGCUGAGGUGCGAAAGCGUGGGGAGCAAACAGG
RNAcentral lists this ribosomal RNA (255 nucleotides) under uncultured bacterium. RNAcentral's name for it is "partial 16S ribosomal RNA". It matches the Rfam family "Bacterial small subunit ribosomal RNA", at positions 524 to 776 of the family's 1533-position model. The record is from RNAcentral.